GAUGAACGCUGGCGGCGUGCCUAAUACAUGCAAGUCGAGCGAACAGAUGAGGAGCUUGCGCCUCGGACGUUAGCGGCGGACGGGUGAGUAACACGUGGAUAACCUACCUAUAAGACGGGGAAAACUACGGGAAAGCGGAGCAAAUACCGGAGAAUAUAUUGAACCGCAGGGUUGAAUAGAGAAAGACGGUGUUGGUGGCAGGUAUAGAUGGAUCCGGGCUGCAUUAGCGGGUUGGUGAGGUAACGGCUUACGAAGGGGACGAUGCGUAGGCGACCUGAGAGGCUGAUAGCCCACCCUGGAGCUGCGACACGGUCCAGACUCCUACGGGACGCAGCAGUCGGCAAUCUUCCGCAAUGGGCGAAAGCUUUGCGGAGCAACGCCGCGCGAGUGAUGGAGGUCUUCGGAUCGUAAUACUCUGUUAUUAGGGAAGAACCAAUGUGUCAGUAACUAUGCACGUCUUGACGGUACCUAGUCAGAAAGCCCCGGCUAACUACGUG
This 497-nucleotide ribosomal RNA is filed under the name uncultured bacterium. RNAcentral's name for it is "partial 16S ribosomal RNA". It matches the Rfam family "Bacterial small subunit ribosomal RNA", at positions 28 to 507 of the family's 1533-position model. The record is from RNAcentral.